UAUAGUCCGUACAGAAUGACUUCUCACGCGCCAUUUGAACUAUGGGACAACUGUCAUGACAAAAGUACGGUUCACCUUUAAAUUAUGGACUAAAAUUGUACUUUUGACAUGACAUUUGACACAUAAAGUCAAAAUGGCACGUGAAAAGUCAUUUUUAAUGCAUUACAAUACGCAUUUUUUUUAAUAGUCUA
Molecule: long non-coding RNA, 191 nt
Organism: Maniola jurtina (meadow brown)
Lineage: Eukaryota; Metazoa; Arthropoda; Insecta; Lepidoptera; Nymphalidae
Exons: 4
Source: RefSeq, a predicted model, not a curated record